CCUGACUGCUAUCGGAUUGAUACUAAGCCAUGCGAGUCAUUGUAGCAAUACAAGGCAGACGGCUCAGUAACGCGUAGUCAAUCUACCCUAUGGACGGGAAUAACCUCGGGAAACUGAGAAUGAUGCCCGAUAGAACAUUAUGCCUGGAAUGGUUUAUGUUUCAAAUGAUUUAUCGCCAUAGGAUGGGACUGCGGCCUAUCAGUUUGUUGGUGAGGUAAUGGCCCACCAAGACUAUUACAGGUACGGGCUCUGAGAGGAGUAGCCCGGAGAUGGGUACUGAGACACGGACCCAGGCCCUAUGGGGCGCAGCAGGCGAGAAAACUUUGCAAUGUGCGAAAGCACGACAAGGUUAAUCCGAGUGGUUUCUGCUAAAGAAACCUUUUGUCAGUCCUAGAGACACUAACGAAUAAGGGGUGGGCAAGUUCUGGUGUCAGCCGCCGCGGUAAAACCAGCACCUCAAGUGGUCAGGAUGAUUAUUGGGCCUAAAGCAUCCGUAGCUCGUUUUGUAAGUUUUCGGUUAAAUCCAUGCGCUUAACGUAUGGGCUGCCGGGAAUACUGCAUAACUAGGAGGUGGGAGAGGUAGACGGUACUCGGGAGGAAGGGGUAAAAUCCUUUGAUCUCUUGAUGACCACCUGUGGCGAAGGCGGUCUACCAGAACACGUUCGACGGUGAGGGAUGAAAGCUGGGGGAGCAAACCGGAUUAGAUACCCGGGUAGUCCCAGCUGUAAACUAUGCAAACUCAGUGAUGCAUUGGCUUAUGGCCAAUGCAGUGCUGCAGGGAAGCCGUUAAGUUUGCCGCCNUGGGAAGUACGUACGCCAAGUAUGAAACUUAAANGAAAUUNGGCGGGGGAGCACCACAAGGGGUGAAGCCUGCGGUUCAAUUGGAUUCAACGCCGGAAA
RNAcentral lists this ribosomal RNA (900 nucleotides) under uncultured archaeon. RNAcentral's name for it is "bacterial SSU rRNA". It matches the Rfam family "Archaeal small subunit ribosomal RNA", at positions 21 to 924 of the family's 1478-position model. The record is from RNAcentral.